UACAGAGGUCUCAAGCGUUGUUCGGAUUCAUUGGGCGUAAAGGGUGCGUAGGCGGCGCGGUAAGUCGGGUGUGAAAUCUCGGAGCUUAACUCCGAAACUGCAUUCGAUACUGCCGUGCUUGAGGACUGGAGAGGAGACUGGAAUUUACGGUGUAGCGGUGAAAUGCGUAGAUAUCGUAAGGAAGACCAGUGGCGAAGGCGGGUCUCUGGACCAACACUGACGCUGAGGAGCGAAAGCGUGGGGAGCGAACAGG
Molecule: ribosomal RNA, 253 nt
Filed under: uncultured bacterium
Lineage: Bacteria
Description: partial 16S ribosomal RNA
Rfam family: Bacterial small subunit ribosomal RNA
Source: RNAcentral